Gallus gallus (chicken) is the source of this 17515-nucleotide long non-coding RNA. RefSeq lists it as uncharacterized. The transcript is spliced from 2 exons. Lineage: Eukaryota; Metazoa; Chordata; Aves; Galliformes; Phasianidae. The record is from RefSeq and is a predicted model, not a curated record.
GGCUCCGGCGGCGGCAGGGGCCCGGCGGCCGCGGGGCUGCCCGGGCUGGCGGCGGCCGCCGCCAUUGUCGGCCCCCUUCCCUCCCCGCUUCCCUCCCGCCGGUCGCCGCCUCUCUCUCUGCCGCCCUUCAGGCCGGCGGGCUAGCGGGGCGCGGGCGGGCGGCGGGGCAUGGGUGCCGUCGGGGGGGCCGCCGCCCCGUCGGGCCGCAUGGAUGGGAGCGCGGCGGGGCCGCCCUCCGCCCGGCCGUACCGAGCCCCUGCCGCCCGCCCUGCCCCUAUUUAUGGGUGCAGCCGCGCGGCGACGGGCCCCGUGCAACAACACGGCAAUCACGUGUGGGAAACGGGGAGCUGGAGGAAAACAAAAGCCCGGCCAGCAGCCCGGAGGAGGAGGAGGAGGAGGGAGAAGGGUGGGUCUCCGCGAGCUCCCUCCUUUCAACCUCUCUCGGUGUGCUUUUUUUUUUUUUUUUUUUUUUUUGCUUUUUUUUUUUUUCCUCCCCCUUUCCCUCCUCCUCCUCCUCCUCCUCCUCCUCCUCUUCUUCCCUUCCUGGAUGCGUGGGGGCGGGCGGGAGCCGGGGGAGGUGGAGUCUGUGCCCGCGGUGCGCGGCACGUGGCCCGCCGGGCUGGCACCGCUACCGCUGCGGGUCCUGGAGCGGCCCGGAGCGCACCGGAGCGCUCGGCUCCCUCCUGCAACAUCCCGUAGGCUUCCCGACCGCUCAGCUCCAUCCCCAGCCCCGCUCUUUGGAGUGAACGCGCUGCGUCCCGCUCGCCCUCUCAUCCCCAGCCCCGCGAGGUGCGCCUUCCCCACCAUCCCGAAGCGGCGGCCGCCCGGCUUCCCUUCUCCGUCCCAUCGGCGCUGUUGUGUUGUGAUGGUAAUUUCAUCAACGGCUUAUGUAAGGGUUGGAUAACACAAACACCACAACAUAUGGUUCGUGCGAGAUAGCAACGUGCGCUCCAUAAAGCGUUACAAUGACUUGUGUGAUAUUCCCGGUACAGUCUGUGGAUGAUUUACAGCCUUCCCAAGCUGUCACAAAUAGCGUCACGUCCCCUGUGAUUCGAGCAAAAGUUUGCUAAUUUGAUCAACAAAAUGGAUUAUUUGGCCACAGAGGGAAAUCUAAGGUUAUUACUGGAGGAAGCUGUGGACAUGCAUCUGCAUUCCGCUCAAAGCUGAUCUUCUGAGCAUUGAGUGGCUUUAGAGCAGAGCUCUGUGAGAGUUUGGUUUGUGAAGGUUUGGCCUGCGAUGGCCCUGGGCACCACCAAACCUCGCCUGUAAGGCCCCAAUGUCCCUGGAGCACUGCAGCAUCCUGGUGCUGCGUGGGCAGCCAUCCGAGCAGGCAGUGCUGAGCAAAGGAUAGGAAACGUCGGGGAAAGGAGAGUGUUUCUCAAACCCCACCUUCUUCCGGAUGGAUUUUGAGGUGGGCAUUCCCAUUGCAGACUGAGGUGACGCUUUCCUAACAGAUGGCACUGGUGCGCUCACCCGGCGGCACGUCGGAGGUAGAUGGGUUGGGUGGGAUGUGGCAGGCCUAAGUGUGGGCUCCCCUCCCCAGGGCACAGCCCAGCUGUUGUCACCCACCUGCUGGGGAGAUGCUCUGCACUCCUGUGGUCGCAUCACAUCCUUUGAACUAACGCUGUGGGGAGGAAGCACAAGGAAAUGCAGACCUGCAGCCUUCAGGCACUGACUUUUUACCCCUUGCGUGUCUGAUGGGAUGCAGCCACUGUGUGUGCUUUGCUCCGGAACCCGUAAGCUUGCAAGGGCAACUGAGUCUCAGAGCAUGUUUUCCAAAGGCAGCCUCUCCCACGUGACAGGCAUGUGAAAGAGGACCACCACCAAAGUGCUGGGUGCAGGUCCAGAGGCUGCUCUAACUCGGGGGCAAGCUUGAUGUGUGCAGAAGUAUGCUCUCCUUUCACAAAAUGACCCUUGCGGUGGGAUAAAUAUUAAGUGUACUUUGGUGCUGGAGGCAUGACCUCUGUUGUACAGCUCCUCCAAAGCUGUUCUGGAGAAAAGCGUCAGCCCACCUUGUGCACACUUCUGUCCAGGUGUGUUUUAGCACCUGAUUUGACAGUGUGAUGCCUGCAGCCAGGGGUGCUCGUGGGAAUGGUUGAGCUUAUUGAACCGCCUUGCGUCCAAAUUAGAGGGGCUGGGAAAACCUGUUCUGUGUUUUGAUUGUUAUUUAGCUUUGAAAAUAUUUAUUUUACUGUUUAUUGUUAUUUAAAUUACUAACCCAGCUCUGACGUUUGCAGUGUGCAUAUCCGUGCCCAUCAGCCCCACUGCCUCCGCAGACCUCCACAGAUGCCUCUGUGCUAACAGAAACGAGCUGCCCUGUGGGUGCCGUGUAUGUAUGUGCUGUCCUAUCCAACAGCGUUAUUGAAGGGGGAUUAAAACAUCCCUUCCUUUGCACAAAAUAAUGAACUCAUUUUGAGAAAGCACCGUGCAACAUGACUUUCUCGGUCAAAAGUGAAGCUGUUUUUGUUAAUGAGCAGGGCACCAGAGUACAGAGAUAGUUGGCAUGUUAGAAAUACCAGGCUCUCUAGACCUAUUUAUAUGUUUAGUAUAAAUAUAAAUGAAUGUUUACAACCUAAGGUGAAUGUUCUUUUCCAGUUCCUUGCAUCCUUUUGAUCUGUGCUUAGCAAGGCUUUCAGUGACUCCGUGUGCUACAGGAUGCUCCCAUUUGCUGGAGGUUAUGUGGAAAUGUUAAACAAAUUGACUUUGCUGGUUGAAACUUUUUUUCUUUGAUGGUGAGCAGUGGUGGACUAGAGGAAAUAGCAAAGUUGAAAGGAAAACCAAAAAUACAUAUUCUGGAAACUUGCUUCUGUGACUGUUUUUUAAAUCAUUUUCCUCUCCGAUUUCUCUUCCAACCAACCAGCUCUACCCAAGUGCAAGCAAAUGCUUUUAUUUCAGAGGUCAUGGGCUUAUGUAAGUGGUUGGACGACAAGUGGUAACAGGAGUGGUAGAGCAUGAUAGCUUUUUCACCCAGUGCACAAAGAGCUGGAAGAGAGACUCAUCAGCUGUGGGUGUUUGGAGACAGUGAGGAACUUGGGGUGACACAGGUGAGUGGAGACACUGGGUUUGAAGACAUCGGGGAGGGUGGAGGGAGCUUGGACAAAAAGUGAAAGCGCAGCAAUUUGCCACUCUGAGAAAUGAGCCUGUAAAAAUGGUGCCUCUGCUUUCAUAGGAAAGUGAACCCAAGUACGGAAGCCUGACGCUGUCGUGGUUUUCACAUCUGCUGUCUUGGUUUUAGUAUAGUCAGUGCAAAGUCCUGUUGCAACGCAAGGGUGAAGAGCAAGCGUGGAAGGCCACAGAAGCUGAAGCUGUGCUGCUGGAUGACUUGCCUCCUCCGACUGAAAAACGUCGCUCCGUAGAGUUGAAAACUUUGCCUGGAGCUUUAGUCAGAGACGGGAUUUGUAUUGAAUUGAGAGUUAACUCUGUGAGACCAACUGGUCCUGAGUCACCAACGUACGUGCCAACAGUAGCCAGUGAACGUAAAACCAAAUUCUCGCAUGGUGAUUAUAAAGUGGGAGAGAUUUGUGAUUGCCUGACAUUACGGUUGGAGCAGCGUGAGCAAGAGCCCGUGUGUAACUGCCAGGAUGAGCAGAAGCGGAUACCCACAGCGAAGGUGAAACGUUGCCUGCACGGAUCAGCUGACAUGCAGAUCACAAAGGCACAGAACCUCAUUAUUUAAGAGGUCAGAGGUGUGGCAUGUGCGGUGUUGAUGUGCCUGUUGCACUGCCUUGAACGGUUCCUGAGAUCACCGGAAGGCGAGCAGUGGGCGGCACGGCCAGUUGGAUAGAUACUUGUAUCUUAAAGAAAUUAGGGCACUCUAAUUAAGUGGUGAGACCUGGAAUCCAUAUCAUUACUCUGACUCACAGUACCUUUAGGUGAGGCUGGUGGCAACAGCUUUUUAUUAAGAUGACUUAACAUUUCCCAGUGUAAGACCGUGGUGUUCUCUUUGUUAGGUCCUCUUUAGGCCUAACAUUUUGUCAGGAAACUUUGGUCAAAAUCAUGAUGGCAGCUCAAAGAGCAGGAACAAGAAAAGCACGUUGCUUCUCCCAUGUUAGAAAUUCUUCUGACCUUUCCUUUGAAAUACCCAAGCAUGCCUGCACUGAAACAAGAAUCUGGGAGGUGGGCUUCUAUGUCUGAGGUGGGGCCGGGAAAGGAGGAAGGAAUGCCCUUCCUCGCAAAAUGCACCCACUUCUGUCCAGUUUUAAGCCUUUGAAUCAUGUAAUGUGCCCAUGGUUCUAACUAGUCUUCUUACUGCUUAGCUGCUAAAGCUGCCAGAAGUUAUGCCUGCCUUGAGCAAAUUUCAGCCUUCUAAAGCAGCUGAGAGCAUCCGGACCCCAGGCCUACAAGGGAUGUUCCCAGCUGCUCUGGGCUGUGGCAGAGGCAGCUGCUGAAAUGCAGGUUCAUGGCAUGCAAGCGGUGUGGAGGAGCGAACCAUAUGUUUGAGCGCACAGAGGGAAGGAGCUGCGUGAGAAAGAAACACCAUCCUCCCUUCUGAUGAAUGCACAGCAAGGGGGCUGAGGAGCUGCACGCUCAGUCUGAAUUUUCCUUCCCCACUCCUUGGAUGCUUGAAUUUUUAAGGUUACUCCUUCAUCUUAGGCUGGAUUUGAGGAUUUUCAUUGCUGUGGUUGUUUGUUUGCUGUCUCUUAAAGACCUGUCUUAAAGACAGGACUUCUGGUUUUCUCGUUGCUGCUAAAAUGCUGUCCCAUACUGCAAUGAGCUUGCAGAUAAAUAGACAAAACAAGGAAGGUGGCCACGUCCAAACUGCAACUGGAACGUAGCAGUUCCUGGCUCCUCUUUGAGUGAUUAAAUGGGAACAGGGCCACAUAGCUCCUCCCUUCUCUUGGAAAACAAAAACUGUGGACACUUGUAGAGAAAACAACCCCAAUCUCUGUCCUUGUCUCGCUGAAGUUUUCUUCUGUGGAAUCAGAAAUGUCUUUGCAGUAUCACAAUAAGUUAACGUGGAGUAGUCUUUAUUCAGAUGAGCAAAUGUCCUGUGAUCCUGACAAUCUCCUUAAGCAGCAGCAUAAAUAAAAGGCAACUUGCAGUAGCAGUAGAACAGAAGACUGAUGGCUAAAAAGAACUUCUAUACUGUUUUUGUAAAGUGACAGCUGUGAUUUAUCCCAUUCUUUACCAUUUAGAGAUAAUUUGGACUCGAGUAUAGAAUUGCUGGAUGUUAAGAUUUCAGCAGGAAGCCUGGGAGAACAUCCGUCAUCGCCAUGGCUUGUGUUAAUUUUUAAUCAUCUCCAGAUAAUUUUAAAACAUAGCUGCAGGUUUCUGAAACAUUCAUGUGAGCAAGUCUGUAAGUAUGUUGGCUGCCUUGGGUAGGAAAAUCCUCCAGUUCACAGGACAGGCUGACCAAGGAGCUGUGAGAGAGCAAAAAUGCUGUUGACACCUACUGGGACACAAUCUUCAAUGAGAGUAAAAACAUUAAAUAAAUAGUAUCUGAAGUUCCCAGAGGGACAUGCUGGCGGAGUGCUUCACUGCAGAGACUCUCACACAAGUUCAGCCUGACUGGAAAUGUUUAAUAUACAAGAGAGAGAGAAAAAAAAAAAAAACAGUUCCAGAGAUUUUUUUUCCUCUUCUUGAAACUAUUAAAUUCAGGGAGUGCGACUCCAGUGGGAAUGAAGGAGGAGAAUGGAAAACUUUUGGUGGGGUGAGCUGAGGUUUUGCAUCUUCUUAGUGGCGUUCUUCUGCCUCUGUGCAAUGUGAUACCAAGCACUGUGCUUGGUUCACUCCAGAGCUUUGGGAGAUCCUCAGCAGGUGCAGAUUAUCACAGGCUGGAGGAGAUCAGAGGCAGAGCAGGCUCCCCUUGUACCACCUUGGCCUACCUGCACAGGUGGCCUGGACCCAUGGCCUCCCCUUUCCUUGCCCUCUAGGGAGGUAUAGGCCAUGCCUGGGUCCUUCGAGCAAUAUUCCUGUGUAAAUAUAUGUCACGGGCAAAUUUCCAGCAUUAUAGUACCCAGCAAGGUCAGCUCUGCUUCUUUCCCAGGGCAGCCAGAAAAGCUGGCGCAACACAUUGAGGAAGAUAGAAAUGGCGGUGACCUUGGUGGGGCUGGGGCCUGUCUCAGCCAUGGGCUGAGUGGGGGGAGGGAGAGCAGCUUUGCUCCCUGCAAACCCCUGAGUUGCUUGAGUCAGCACUGCUGAUGCUUGUGUGUGCUCACCAGAAGCACAUUCCGAGGGGCUGAGGGCCUUAGGAUUCUCAGAAGCGGCAUAGGUGGCCCAACCCGGGCAUGGAUGCCUAAGAGAGAUGUCUGGAGGAUGGCUUUUCUCCUUUGUCAGUGAGGGUUGUAUGUGGAGGAGGACCCCUAAAUCCUGCUGCUUGCCUUUAUUUUGGGAUGGGAGGAAAUUCAAGACCCAUCUGGAUGCCUUCCUGUGUGACCUAUGGUAAGGAACAUGCAGAGGGUUGGACUUGAUCACCUCUAGAGGGCCCUUCCAGCCCCUACAAUUCUGUGAUUCCGUGAAAUCCAACCCUCAUGAAGGACAGAAAAUUUAUCUGCAGAGGAAUCGCCGAGGGUACGGCUAGCUGCCACCUGGGGCAAGCCAGCAGCUCAAUGCUACUCUGAAUAACCAUAACUUGCUAUAUGCUUAUCUUGUAUAAACUACCUGAUGGCUAAAUGUUGGUCUGAAUGGGAUGCCUUUUCCCCUCAGGAAAAUUUUGGCAGGAAAUUUUUGUAAGCAGCCAACGGAAAUUAAAUAAAUGGAAAAGUGGCCCCCAAGCAAAGAGGGAUCCAAAGUCUUCUGCUGUCUCCACUCAAAUUGAGUAGCACCUUCAUGUAAUAGUCUUCCCGUUGAGAUCAGUGAGGUUGUUUGAAUAAAAGAAGCAUUUAAGUGUAGAAGAAAGUAAGAGAAAAGAGACUGCAUUCAAAUCGAAUGACCAAAUUUCAAGUUUCCUUGAACCCCAAGGAAAGGACAGAUCCUUUAAGCUGUGAAGAAGUAACUGCUAGAAAAAUUCCAUGAAAUCAAUUCUAAAGUUUAUCACAGAAUAAGACUCAGUUAAGGGCCAGAAAGGAAAUUGAACUGUUCAAAGAUAUGGCAGUGUGGCAAAAGGGAGCAGCUCUGCUAGAAUGACUUUCUGUACGUAUUUGGUGUAUCUGCAGUUCUUUGUUGUGAAUCUUGACACACUGGUAAUUCUCUCUUCCAAAGUUCAGAUCACUGGUUUAGUUCUAAUUUACUGCAGUGCCUGGUUUUUGUGCCAGAUUUUUUCUCUGGGGGAAAAAAAAAGUUAAUGUUCAGAUAGAUAUACACCGAGGGAAAUUAUUUUAUAUAUGCAUGAUGUGUAUGUAUAAAAGUAUACGUAUGUAUGUAUAUGGAUAGAAAGAUGUUUCGUUUUCCCCUGCAGGGAUGUAAUUUCAACUGGAUCUAACAGGACACAAUACAUAACACUCAAAUUAGAGCAGCUGCAAGAAUAUGCAGCAGAACUAUUCUGCUGGCUGUUUUUGGAAACAUUUUAGCCAUCUCCAUUAUACCAGCAUGACUGCGUUCCUAUGGGAACAAGCUUCCUCAUAGCAAGAAUCUUCUAUAAUGAGAGCAGGUGACUCCUGGUUAAAAACCUGGGGCUUGGCACACAACUUAAUAUUUUGUAAAUAUCAAAUAUUCUGCAGUGCUUUGUCUAAACUCACUCAUUUUCAGAAGCAAUUAGAUUUUUUUUUCAACUCUGUCAAUGAGGCCAGACACAACAAGCCCGGUUAAAACUGUCACUGGGACUUGUUAUUAGAUCUGCAACAGUAAAGGCCUGUUUGCACCUUCAUAGCAACUAUGAUGUUGCUUGACAAGCUGCAAGCAAGAGGCGGUACCCCUUUUGAAGGGCACCGUACUGCAGCAAUAAGGCUGCAGUAGGCUUUAAUAGAACCACUUUGUGAGGGAGCUUCUUAGCAUCUAACUCUGUUUUAUCAUCUGCCCUAAAUAUCUCCUCCGAAGAAGGUUCUUGAGUUGUAUAUUGUGAGAGUAUUACAUUGUCUUAGUGUUUACUUACAGCAGGAAUGAUGCUUACAGGAGGGAACCAUAGAACUUUACAGCUCUCUCAAGGAUGCCUUGGAAAUAAAGAAUUAUAGGAGAAAAAAACCAUCAUACUGACUGAUGAGUUGGAGAACGAAGCAGUCACUGUAGCUAGCUGAAUGAUUCUUGGAAGCGGCGUUCAGAGCCUUCAUACCUUGCGCUGAAGCUGAUCAAAUGUAUCUGCUUUAUUUUUAACUCCCAACUGGUAAAACUGCCAGCAAAGUAUCCAUGGCGCACGUAAGUGAUACGAAGGAGGCAGAACUUAAUCUGCAGCUCUUUGCCAGCAGAUAAUGAAUGAACAUAGCUGGAAGUUGUAGCAAGGCCUAGAUUCGAAUUUCAAGGCAAGCUUGUAAGUUGUGGGGAAGUACGCAGUUAAACUAAGUCAGCUGAGCUGUGUAUCGAGGAUAUAGAUGUAAACAAAUGGAUCAAAGAUGUCAGAGUUGUAUCCUCUGGUCUUGUCCUUAUCCCUCCUAUAAUCUCAGCUGCAACUCCUCCGGCUCAAUUCUCAGUGCUGGUUCAUCUGUCUACCUCUGCUGGUGCAGUCCUGGCUUUCCUUGCUGAGGCUCUGGUCCUGGCUGCAGCUCCUCUUGUACCCUGACUGUGCUGAGCCAUCCACCUACUGAAGGCAGGGGUACCUCAUCUGUGGCAUUUAUUUCUCUUGCUCUCCUUAAGGCAGAUGAUGGCAAGUUGGCCCUGAAGUAAUCCCUGAGGUGCCUGAGACUCGGUGAACUUCAGGCACUUGUGGAAACCUCCACGAAAACUGCUGGAGUAACAGCCUUGUUGAUGAUAUGGCAUGACCAGUGAUGAUGGUGUUGAGAAAUUGAAACACGUUUCAAGAGAGUCUGCUGGCUGCCCUGGUACAUGCACUGCUGUUUCAGGCCCUAUUAGCAGUUCACAAGCAGACCAAGAGUCCCACCUUCUCACCUGACUGAUUUUUGAGGGUAGAAAAUGUUUUUGAGAAAUAAAAGCGAAGAAUUACGGUGUCUAAAGACACAAUUAACAAUUGCAAAACUUAGUAUCUAUUGUCAGGGACCUUCCCAGUGUACAUUUCCAGCUGCUCUUAGCAAUGACACGUUGUCACUGCCCUCUGUUUUUGUGCUUCAGAAGGUACAGGAAUUUUAUACUGUGACACCUAACCAGCAUUUCAGUGGAGCCACUGUUCUGAUAGUAAAUGAUGAAGCAUAUACCCUACGCUUGGAAACAAGCAUUUGCAGUUGCUGCCUUUAGAACAAUCCUUCUAGCUCAAAGGAGAGCCACGCAGUAAAAACAUGGGUGUGUUAAUCCUUUGUGUGCUUGAUAAGAUGUGAAUUUGUUUGCGUAGCCAUCUGCUUGCCAACUAGAACAAGGUGGGUUGAGGGUUAUGGUGCUUUUAUUGCUCUAUAUGAAGUAAACUUGGAAACAGAGAAAAACAAUGGACCACAAAGGCUGUAAGAGUAAUAGAUGAAGGUAGAGCCAUUUUUUUUUCUGGGAACUUCAAAUGCUUAAACUCAGCAGGUAUGAGUUUCUGGAGUUGGUGUACAUAGCAAAAGAAAGUAAUGACAGUACCUUCUAAUAGGAUACGAGCACUACAGAGCAACAGGAGGUAACAAAGAAGAAAAAUUGGCUCACCUCUUCCAAUGACCAGUGAUAGCUCAACAGGAGCACAGUCUCUAUCCAAAGAGAUACUGCUCCCUUGGCUGCUAUCUCUUAAAUGAGGAUGAGGAGGGGUAGAUCCAGGCUCCACCCCUUUCAGUCAAGCAGGUGCAUGGCUUGCACCUGAGCUCCCUUGGUUAUCCACUCCUUCUCACCUGGUGCUCAGCAAUUGCUUCAGGCUCUGACCUGGCAAUUCUGCUGCGGGAUGUUUUUAAAGGGCAGCCAGCCAAGUGCUUUUAAGCCAAACGUGUGGCUAUUUGGGGAAAUAACUUGGAGAGUAUUGAUUGACUCUACCAAAUGUCAUUUUAGUUGGGUCUGAAUGUUUGCAGUUCUGCCUCAGUUUGGAGGCCAGCAUGUGGUGCGGCAGGGCACUGCAGCACUCGGUGCUGGUCCUCUGAUUGGGACUGGUAAUGCUCAUAGAGGAUCUUCCUUUCCCCUCCCUGCUCUGAGUGUUCUCUUGCAAGUGUUAUGAAAUGCAAAUGCAACAGACUGUGCGGGUGAAACCUGGAAAGCACAACUCCCCUAGAAGCUGGCUGCCAGUGAAGCAUCCCAGCCUUGUUUGUUCUCAGGACAAAUGCUGUCUCAAGGAGUGUGCUGGUGUGCCCUGCUUCGUAUAGGGAGGUUCCUCUCCCCCUAUGGCAGUGGCAUAGGCAGCCCGUUCCAUGCCCACCACCCUCUGGUGCAGCCCCUGUCCCUAACCCCCAGCUGCCCCUCUCCUGACACAGCUCCAUGCCGUUCCCUGUCGCUGUCACAUAGAGCAGAGCUCAGCGCUGCCCCUCCUCUCCCUGUGAGGAGCUGUAAGCCACAGAUGGAAGGGAGAUGGCCUAAAGAAGGAGCAGGGCUGCCCUUUGCUAUGGAUGCAGCAGGAUGGUGCUACACCAGCACCCUGGAUGUGGGAAUGGCUGGCUCUCCACCUGCCCUCCAGUCAAAGCUCUCCCCUGGAAGCAGAUGCUGUCUCCAGUCCGGGAAGUGCUCUGCGCUCAUACUUUGCCUCUCUUGAAAGCCUCAUGGCCCUGCCUGCACAGUUGCUGGUUUCAGCAAGGCUCUUUGAAGUCCAUCAAAGCAGUCUUUAAUGCAGCGUGACCGACUUAAAGGCUUUUUUCUUUUUCAUCAGCUUCACGAGGAAUAAAGCACAUCUGAUGCAGGACACAGCAGUGCUUUCUCUUGUGCUGGAGGAUGGGUGCUCAGGCAGGACAGAGUGCCGGAGGAACAACAUCUCUGCUCUGACUCCUUCUGACAGGACUGAUGGAGCUGGUGAAUUUUCUGGCGAAUUAAACUCCAUGAGAGCUUCUGCCUGGAAGCCAUCAUCCUGCCUCUGUACUUGCCUCCAUUCAGUAAGGAUCUGUGAUGUUCUUGGAGAUCUCCUGCAGAGCUUUCCCCUGUGUGGCAGAAAUUACCCUGUCCACCAUCUGAGAGAACUCUGGUACCUCCCAUAGUCACACAGAGCACUUGGAGGUGCCCUGCCCCUCUCAUAGUUACCUGAAUGCCCCCCAUCAGCUCCAUCACAGCCUUGACUGAACUGGCUGCUGUGUUGCACCCUGUGCGUGUUUUGUAAUUAAGUCACUAGGCGAGAGGGUAGGUUUCUGUCUGGGUAUAUUUUUUUGUUUGUGUUUUAAUUAUUUUAUUUUAUUUUAUUUUGAGCCAAGUUCUAAAGUCCACGCUUAGGGCCUCACAUGCUCAGAUUUCCUUUAACUCUUGAUAGGGGGAAAGAACUGAGUCGCGACCUUAUGGUCUGAACGUGAGCAAACAAUCUGUUACAGUGAACACACGCAGAGGAAAAGAACAGCGAUGAUUCGAGGCAGCAGGAUCCUCAUUGACUUGAGAUCAUCAUUUUCUUGAAGGCAGGGGGUAAUGGCUGGCUGUCACCCACACGAUUAUAUCCUCACACUGUUCCUGGACUGACCUGAAAUGAAACCUCCAAUGCCAGCAGGGAUAAAUCCCAGGGUAGGGGAGGCUGGGAUGUCUGUGCCCCACCAGCCUUUCUGUGCCCGUGCUGCCAACCUGGAAGAGGUUUGUGGAGCCUUUGUGUUCGUUGUGAUGUUUUUGCUGUUAGGUCUAGAAUGUGGGGAUUGAGAUUGUUGCCCCGUGCUGCAGAUCCCUCACCAAAAUCAUAGCUGAGCGUUCCCUGUGCUUCUGAAGGUAUAAUGGAAAAGCUUUACAGCACAGCCCUUAUUUCCAAGAUGUGCCCGUAGUUUGGUUAAAAAAAACUGUUGGAUUCUCAAGCUUAUUUUAUGCUGGCGUUAAAAACAUGUGUUCUUCCAGGAACGCAACAUGAAUGAAUGUGAGCUCUAAAUUAUGCUGACCUUUCAAUUAGAAAUUUUCCACCACCUAUCAUUCCAGGACAAAUAUUGAUUGAACAGUCCAUGUGUGUGUGUGAAGCGCAGCCUGACAGCCGGCGUGACCUUCCUCUUCUGUGCCUGAUUGCCAAUGGUGGCUUUAAGCUUCCUUUUGUACCAAAACCUCGUUUCAUAACUGAACUCCCUGCUCUUUGGAACCUGAGUUUCUUCGUUUGUUUGCUCAGCGAGCUGAGAUCUGUUGGGAUAUUUCUCUGUUUGAUUUGGUUGUUAGCUUUGUUGCCGUCCGAAAUGGCCCAGGGCUGCUUUGUUCAAGGCCAUUUUUCUGGAAGGGUUUUGUUCUGCACAAGUUUGCGGGUAUCACCCGUGUGAUUUCUGCCCCAUUGUGUGCUGCUCGCCCGCUCAGGGCCAUAUUGUGAUUGCAUGUGUGCUUGGCUCCGCAGCUCUCAGCAUCCACUGAGCAUGGGAAAAUGUCUUUCCGCCGGGAGAUUUCAUCACUGAAUUUUCAUAUCUCCAAAUCCUAUAGAAUUUUUUUUUUUUUUUUGAGGUUACAAGAGAUCAAUUUCCAUAAACCAAAGAAUUAUAGGAUGGCUUAGUUUGAAAGGGACCUUUAAGGUCAUCUAGCUCCAACCCCUGAAUGCUCUUAAAAAUAUGAAUGAAGGACAGCGUUAGCCUUCCCCAGACUGUCCUGGUUUUGGGGCAGAAACAAAGACGUAUCUUCAUGUUUCAAUGUAGCAGGUUUCUCCAACGGUGGAUUCUCCAAAGGAUGGAUUUGGUCCCCAGCAAGUACUUUGCAGCAGUGCGAUCUGCUUUUGCAGGGAGAGUCAGCACAAAGCCACCCCGCACUCCCCAUAACAUCGAUGAACGGGGUGAGUUUUAUUCAAUAGGCCUCAGUCUUUUUAAUAAAAGCACUAGUUUGUAUUACAGAGUCACAGAAUUGCAGGGGUUGGAAGGGACCUCUUAGAUCGUUGAGUCCAACUCUCUCUAAAGGAGGUUCCCUAUAGUAGGUCGCACGGGUAGGCAUCCACAGAAGAAGACUCCACAACCUGUCUGAGCAGCCUGUUGCAGUGCUCCAUCACUCAGACAGUAACCGAUUUCUUCCUUGUGUUAGUAUUGAACUACCCAUGUUUCAGUUUCUGCCCGUUGCUCCAUGUUCUACUGCUGCACACCACCCUCAUCAACAUGGCUCCCGCACUGUAGGUAUUUAUAUAUAGUUAUGAGAUCCCCUCACAGCCUUCUCUUCUCCAGACUGAAGAGUCCCAGGUCUUUAGGUAUCUUAGCCUAGAGCCCCCUGGAUUCUGCCCAGGGGAAAGAUGGGGGUGGGAGCUGAGGCCUGGAUGCAUUUGUCUCUCAUUCGUGCCUUCACCAAAGCUGCUGAUGUGCAGGCCUCCAGCUCCCACCAAGGGCACACACACCCACAGAGCACGCAGUGCUGCCCUCUGACCCCUGUCAGGAACGUUACUUCUUCUCAUGGUUAUGAAAGAUACUCAUACUGCUUUCUUCUGAGAUUAUGGUUUGUACUUCUAUAUAUAAUGCAUAUACAUACAUAAAAUGUAAACACAUGCGCACACUAUAUAUAUGCACACUAUAUGUAUAUAUAUAUCCCUUCCUCCCAUCCCAUUUCCUUCUCUUCUCACAGCCCAAACGUUCCCAGUGAGAGGACGGCAGAUUUCCAUCACAAAUGCUUUUCCCCUGACUGUUUUUUGUUUUCUAAGCCUGUGACAUGAAAGCAGACAUAAUAUUUUCAUUUUGGUUCUCUAUAAAUAAACAGAAAUCUCAUUUCCAGAAAGUGUUGGUGGAGCAAGUCAAGUCCUCAGGCAGAAGAGCACCCUGCUUCUCUGCUGCUGAGCCCCGUUGUGUCCCCGGGGUCGUGCAGGAACCCCCAGGGGGUUCACAAGGAAACACGGACCCCCUCAAAUUAAAGUACAACAUCUAGGUCUGGUUCUGCUGCCCUGCUCUGUUUCCUUGGCUUUAAAUUACCACUGGGGGUACAGGUCAUUCUGUGCAAGAGAUAGAGCCUGAAGCGAGGUGUUGGAGGCUGUCUGUGCCUUCCCCGUGUCUUUUCCUAAUGUCAAUGGUUCUGUGGGCCUCCAAGCAGACGUGCUGCUCUUCCCAUGGCAAUCUUCUGGACCUAAAGAGCAAGGCAUUCAGAUUUGAAUGCUGGUACCGGGGAAAGGGGGCCUUAUUCAGGCUGUGGCCCUCAGUGAGUGCUGUGCUCAUGCAUGGAUGUGGAACAGCUACUGCAUCUGGGUCACUGCACUGACCGCUCUCUGGGACGGGCACAUGUCCUUGCUUAAUGCCCUGGCAUCAGCUCUGGAAAUCCCUGCUGCAGAGGUGUCUGCUUGUGAAGUGAGCAGGACCAGUGUUAGGAACGGCUGGAGCCUGAAAGUAGUGUUCUUGGGCUGGGAAUAUACUGCUCCACCACUCCCAUAGAGCGACUGCAUUACCUACCCACCUUUGCUGCAUUAUGGCUUCGGGAUCACUGUGUUCCUUCGGGGUUCAGCUGGACACGUCUUGUGCUGGGCAGACCACGGCCCCGCGUGCGCCCAGAUGGUGUUUCAGGGUUUUCAAGGGAAUUCUAAAGGAUCUCAGGAAUGUGAGAGGGUUUGAAAGCUUUCUGCUUUCGCAAGGUUUUUCCAGUGCUUGUUUAUGGUUUAGAUGCUCACAGCAAACAGAUGCUCGUUUCGAAGCAGGUCAGAAGUCCCAGACUUGUAGGAGACGCUGUCUGCCUUGUUUUCCGCUGUUUAGUACCCAAAGCUAAGCACGUAAACUGCACCCGUGAAUAACCCGAGAGGUUCCCCUGCCCUGGGUACAGCUUCUCGCUCACACUGAGAUCCCUCGCAGCACAAGCAGUGGGACACCGUCUGUGCGCAGGCUGCAGAAACUUGUGCAAACAUCACUGCUUGUUUAGAAGGUGGGGAGCUAAAUGAUUUAUUAGUGUGCUCAGCACUGAAGCUGAGAAGGUUCUUCUCAGGUUGGCUUUUAUCACUGACACCUUACGGGGUCUCGCUGACUGGAAAAUUCCUAGUAACUGGAUAGUGGGAGGGAAGGAAGCGUGUGGCGUAGCCAUCUGAGGGGCACGGCCCCACUCUGAUGACACUGAAGGGGAUAAGUUGCUGCCACCACACUGGUUUCUUUCUCUUAUUUUUGCACAGGGGAAGGCCAGAGCCUGCCAGUGCACUGACCAGAAGCAUUAUCCAUCCCCCUUGGCAGAUGUGUGAGCAGCCACCAGCAGGGACCUCUGCCUCUCUACAAGCACAGGGAGUGCAGCCCAGCAUCCAGAUAUGGAACUCUGUUUUGGGUGAAUGGGUAACACUGCUGUGCAACUCCAGUUAUGAGACCAAUUCUCAUCCCCAUGCACUUCCCUUCAUUUACAACGCCCAGUAUCACAGAACCACAGAACAGUUUGGGUUGGAGGGGACCUCAAAGCCCACCCCGUCCCACCCCAUGCUGUGGGCAGGGCUGCCCCCCAGCAGCUCAGCUGCCCAGGGCCCCAUCCAACCUGGCCUUGAGCCCUCCAGGGAUGGGGCACCACAGCUUCUCUGGGCAGCUGUGCCAGCACCUCACCGCCCUCACAGUAGUCUAGAACUCAUUUAAUAUUUUGUGUACAGUUCUUAAAUAAAAGCAGAAAUUUCUACAUUUGGUUGGAGAGGCUGGAGUUUUAGCAAUGUGACAACUGCAAUGAGAUCACAACCAUCAGCAGCAUUAUGGUAGUAAAAAUGGAAAAUUCUCUAGAAAGAGAAAUACAGUACCUUAAUGCACACACAUAACUAGUGAGAGAAUUUAUCAAACCUCCUAGAUAGAAAGUUUCACGCAGGCCGCUUGUGAGCAAUGAAAGAGUCUCUGCAGAGGUAAAGGCGCUGUAGGUCUUUUAUGAUAAGGCUGGUUUCUGCCUUUCAAAAGAAUGCCAAAUCCGAAGAGCAGCAGAUAUUCUCUGUGUGGCCUGUGGGGUCAACAGCCGCAGAAAUAACCACAUCAUUUAAUUUUCCUACUCUGUUCCCAUUAUUUUUCCACUUGUAUGAUACAUUCUUGGUAAGUAUAUAGCAUAAAUAUAUAGAGAGAAGGUAGAGUUCCCUCAGCCUAAGUGGUAAAACACGCAGAACAAAGAGGGAAGUGGGAUUUGAAAUGCAGUGAGCCAAUGUGAAAUAUUUGAAGCGCCGGCUGUGUGGUGGCUGAAGGAAAACCACUGGAGCAGGAGGGCAAUCCAGACAGUGAGUUUUGAAAGUGGCUGCAGAACAGGCCGUGGUCUAACAAAAGGAUCUCCCCCAUCCUUACAUUAACACGCUUCUCAAAGCUCGGGGAAUCGGAGGAUAUUUUCUCUCCAAACUCCCUCAGCAUGGUUUGCCCUCUGCCAGUGACCCAACCUACAGCUAAGCUGUUUGCAACGGGAUGUGGAUUGCUUUCUGAUUGCUUAACUUUGGCAUGUUCCAUGAGCAUGCUGAGACUCUCACCCUUUGCAACAAAACCCCCUUUUGAAAGCACAUCAAAAGACUGAGUCCGGAUUUGUGAGAGAUACGGGAAAUUGCUGAGGAAAAUAUUUUACCAAGAGGAAAGCAGACAAACGCCUGGCAGGCAAGCGGUAGUUUUGUUCCUGAAGAGGGAUGUAAGUCUGGGAUUUAGGAGAGCUGAGCAGAACUGGAAGAAAUGUACAAGCUUCAAGGGGUACGACAGACGCUAAAUUAUAGUGGUUUGCUCAAAAAUAACCUUGCACUUCAUAGACAAAAAGCGUGCCACGGAAGUAUUUGAGAGCCUGAGGAUAAGUCCUUGAAGAUCCAUCAGACAAACCCACUGUGGCAUGUGGCUCAGCGGGCAGAAGGGGACUGUAAGAAAAAAGGGAACAGACUCUUUAGCAGGGUCUGUUGUGCCAGGACGAGGGGAAAUGGUUUCCAACCAAAAGAGAGGAGAUUUAGACAGGAUAUGAGGAAUGAGUGUUCUACAAAAAAAGUGGUGAGGCACUGGAAUAGGUUGCCCAGAGAGGCGGUGGAUGCUCCAUCCCUGGAGACACUCAAGGUCAGGCUGGAUGGGGCUCUGAGCAUCCUUAACUGCUGUAGGUGUCCCUGUUCAUUGCAGAGGAGUUGGACUGGAUGGCCUUUAUCCCUUCCAAUUCAAACGAUUCUAUGAUUUUAUGUCACUGUGUGCACAGGGCUGUGCUCAUCCUCCUGUGGAUCCCCAAGGUUCCCUGUGUGCCAAGAGCAGUUUGGUCAGUGUGGAUGAGAGCUAGCGGGCUUUGGCUGGGAUCCUUCCUAGUUUCCCUUCUGGGCUCUCUCCAUUUGUGAGUGAGCAGUGAAGGGGGUCCUAGCGCUCUCCUUGUGGAAAGCAGGAUGGUCCAACUUGGUAGCAAAUAGAAUGGCAAAAAAGAAGUGCUGGCUUUGGGGAGACUCCUGCAAAUCUCAUCAUUGCACAAUGAAGGCAGUUCCCUCCACCAGAAUGACUCAGUGUUUACUGCUGCUCAGGGGUCUCUGUUGGUGUGAAAAGUGCAACCAUGGGUUAUGGGGACGUGGGUGAGAGCCCCUGCUGUAAGUCAUGUCAAAUUUACAUACCCAUUUGGAAUUAUCAUUUGUAGUCUCUUGGUAAUAAAUGCCUUCCAUUUUAGUGUU